UCCUAGGCUUAGGAUGAACGCUAGCAGAAUGCUUAACACAUGCAAGUCGAACGAAUCUUCGGAUAGUGGCAGACGAGCGAGUAACACGUACUAACUUGCCCUUGAGUUGGGAACAACUAUAGAGAUAUAGCUAAUUCCCAAUAUGCUCACGAUGGUGAAAUCCCGAUGUGAGGAAAGAUUUAUCGGCUCAAGGAGAGGGGUGCGUCCUAUCAGGUUGUUGGUAAGGUAACGGCUUACCAAGCCUAUGACGGGUAGCCGGUUUGAGAUGAUGAUCGGCCGCGAUGGGACUGAGAUACGGCCCAUACUCCUACGGGAGGCAGCAGUGGGGAAUAUUGCACAAUGGACGAAAGUCUGAUGCAGCCAAUUCUGCGUGAAGGAUGAAGCAUUACGGUGUGUAAACUUCUUUUUGGUAGAAGACGAAUGACGGUAUACCAAGAAUAAGGGACGGCUAACUAUGUGCCAGCAGCAGC
Molecule: ribosomal RNA, 470 nt
Filed under: uncultured bacterium
Lineage: Bacteria
Description: bacterial SSU rRNA
Rfam family: Bacterial small subunit ribosomal RNA
Source: RNAcentral